CUACGGGGCGCUCCAGGCGAGAAAACUUUGCAAUGUGCGAAAGCACGACAAGGUUAAUCCGAGUGGUUUCUGCUAAAGGAACCUUUUGACAGUCCUAGAAACGCUGUUGAAUAAGGGGUGGGCAAGUUCUGGUGUCAGCCGCCGCGGUAAAACCAGCACCUCAAGUGGUCAGGAUGAUUAUUGGGCCUAAAGCAUCCGUAGCCGGCUCUGUAAGUUUUCGGUUAAAUCUGUACGCUCAACGUACAGGCUGCCGGGAAUACUGCAGAGCUAGGGAGUGGGAGAGGUAGACGGUACUCGGUAGGAAGGGGUAAAAUCCUUUGAUCUAUUGAUGACCACCUGUGGCGAAGGCGGUCUACCAGAACACGUCCGACGGUGAGGGAUGAAAGCUGGGGGAGCAAACCGGAUUAGAUACCCUAGUAGUC
RNAcentral lists this ribosomal RNA (422 nucleotides) under uncultured archaeon. RNAcentral describes it as "partial 16S ribosomal RNA". It matches the Rfam family "Archaeal small subunit ribosomal RNA", at positions 323 to 746 of the family's 1478-position model. The record is from RNAcentral.